Molecule: ribosomal RNA, 468 nt
Filed under: uncultured bacterium
Lineage: Bacteria
Description: partial 16S ribosomal RNA
Rfam family: Bacterial small subunit ribosomal RNA
Source: RNAcentral
GACGAACGCUGGCGGCGUGCUUAACACAUGCAAGUCGAACGGAAAGGCCCUGCUUUUGUGGGGUGCUCGAGUGGCGAACGGGUGAGUAACACGUGAGUAACCUGCCCUUGACUUUGGGAUAACUUCAGGAAACUGGGGCUAAUACCGGAUAGGAGCUCCUGCUGCAUGGUGGGGGUUGGAAAGUUUCGGCGGUUGGGGAUGGACUCGCGGCUUAUCAGCUUGUUGGUGGGGUAGUGGCUUACCAAGGCUUUGACGGGUAGCCGGCCUGAGAGGGUGACCGACCACAUCGGGACUGAGAUACGGCCCAGACUCCUACGGGAGGCAGCAGUGGGGAAUAUUGCACAAUGGGCGGAAGCCUGAUGCAGCAACGCCGCGUGCGGGAUGACGGCCUUCGGGUUGUAAACCGCUUUCGCCUGUGACGAAGCGUGAGUGACGGUAAUGGGUAAAGAAGCACCGGCUAACUACGUG